UUUGGCAGCGGUCCAAGUUCCUUGGAACAGGACGUCACAGAGGGUGAGAAUCCCGUACGUGGUCGCUAGCUAUUGCCGUGUAAAGCCCCUUCGACGAGUCGAGUUGUUUGGGAAUGCAGCUCUAAAUGGGAGGUAAAUUUCUUCUAAAGCUAAAUAUUGGCCAGAGACCGAUAGCGCACAAGUAGAGUGAUCGAAAGAUGAAAAGCACUUUGGAAAGAGAGUCAAACAGCACGUGAAAUUGUUGAAAGGGAAGCGCUUGCAGCCAGACUUGCUUGCAGUUGCUCAUCCGGGCUUUUGCCCGGUGCACUCUUCUGCAGGCAGGCCAGCAUCAGUUUGGGCGGUGGGAUAAAGGUCUCUGUCACGUACCUUCCUUCGGGUUGGCCUUAUAGGGGAGACGCCAUACCACCAGCCUGGACUGAGGUCCGCGCAUCUGCUAGGAUGCUGGCGUAAUGGCUGUAAGCGGCCCGUCUUGAAACACGGACCAAGGAGUCUAACAUCUAUGCGAGUGUUUGGGUGUCAAGCCCGAGCGCGUAAUGAAAGUGAACGGAGGUGGGAACCCGCAAGGGUGCACCAUCGACCGAUCCUGAAGUUUACGGAAGGAUUUGAGUAAGAGCAUGGCUGUUGGGACCCGAAAGAUGGUGAACUAUGCUUGAAUAGGGUGAAGCCAGAGGAAACU
RNAcentral lists this ribosomal RNA (676 nucleotides) under Naganishia albidosimilis. RNAcentral describes it as "partial large subunit ribosomal RNA". It matches the Rfam family "Eukaryotic large subunit ribosomal RNA", at positions 169 to 863 of the family's 3401-position model. Lineage: Eukaryota; Fungi; Basidiomycota; Tremellomycetes; Filobasidiales; Filobasidiaceae. The record is from RNAcentral.